UACGUAGGGUCCGAGCGUUGUCCGGAUUUACUGGGCGUAAAGCGCGCGUAGGCGGCGGUGCUGGCCCGGCGUGAAAGCCCCCGGCUCAACCGGGGAGGGUCGUCGGGGACCGCACCGCUUGAGGGCGGUAGGGGCUGGUGGAAUGCCUGGUGUAGUGGUGAAAUGCGUAGAGAUCAGGCGGAACACCCGUGGCGAAGGCGGCCAGCUGGGCCGUCCCUGACGCUGAGGCGCGAAAGCUAGGGGAGCGAACGGG
RNAcentral lists this ribosomal RNA (253 nucleotides) under uncultured bacterium. RNAcentral's name for it is "partial 16S ribosomal RNA". It matches the Rfam family "Bacterial small subunit ribosomal RNA", at positions 524 to 776 of the family's 1533-position model. The record is from RNAcentral.